Molecule: transfer RNA, 63 nt
Filed under: Cacopsylla coccinea
Lineage: Eukaryota; Metazoa; Arthropoda; Insecta; Hemiptera; Psyllidae
Description: tRNA-Ala
Source: RNAcentral
AGGGUUAAAGUUUUUAAAACAUCUAAGUUGCAAUUAGAAAUAACAAAUAAUAUGUUAACCUGA